This 497-nucleotide ribosomal RNA is filed under the name uncultured bacterium. Its description in RNAcentral is "partial 16S ribosomal RNA". It matches the Rfam family "Bacterial small subunit ribosomal RNA", at positions 28 to 507 of the family's 1533-position model. The record is from RNAcentral.
GACGAACGCUGGCGGCGUGCCUAAUACAUGCAAGUAGAACGCUGAAGAGAGGGGCUUGCUCUUCUUGGAUGAGUUGCGAACGGGUGAGUAACGCGUAGGUAACCUGCCUUGUAGCGGGGGAUAACUAUUGGAAACGAUAGCUAAUACCGCAUAACAAUGGAUGACACAUGUCAUUUAUUUGAAAGGGGCAAUUGCUCCACUACAAGAUGGACCUGCGUUGUAUUAGCUAGUAGGUGAGGUAAUGGCUCACCUAGGCGACGAUACAUAGCCGACCUGAGAGGGUGAUCGGCCACACUGGGACUGAGACACGGCCCAGACUCCUACGGGAGGCAGCAGUAGGGAAUCUUCGGCAAGGGGGGCAACCCUGACCGAGCAACGCCGCGUGAGUGAAGAAGGUUUUCGGAUCGUAAAGCUCUGUUGUAAGUCAAGAACGGGUGUGAGAGUGGAAAGUUCACACUGUGACGGUAGCUUACCAGAAAGGGACGGCUAACUACGUG